UACGGGGGGGGCAAGCGUUGUUCGGAAUUACUGGGCGUAAAGGGCUCGUAGGUGGCCAACUAAGUCGGACGUGAAAUCCCUCAGCUUAACUGGGGAACUGCGUCCGAUACUGGAUGGCUUGAGUUUGGGAGAGGGAUGCGGAAUUCCAGGUGUAGCGGUGAAAUGCGUAGAUAUCUGGAGGAACACCGGUGGCGAAGGCGGCUCUCUGGGACGGUACUGACGCUGAGACGCGAAAGCGUGGGGAGCGAACAGG
RNAcentral lists this ribosomal RNA (253 nucleotides) under uncultured bacterium. RNAcentral describes it as "partial 16S ribosomal RNA". It matches the Rfam family "Bacterial small subunit ribosomal RNA", at positions 524 to 776 of the family's 1533-position model. The record is from RNAcentral.